Non-coding RNA from Macaca mulatta (Rhesus monkey), 4366 nucleotides. Lineage: Eukaryota; Metazoa; Chordata; Mammalia; Primates; Cercopithecidae. The record is from RefSeq and is a predicted model, not a curated record.
GCCCGCAGCUGUGUAUAAUGCUAUUCGCUUAACAGCGGAAAACAUGGCAAUGACCUGAAUCUCCCCGGCUCCCAGGAUCCUGCCCACUUAAGUUAAACAAAUGAAAUAACUCCCACUGUCAGUUAAACUGGCGGUGGGCGCUGGUUUUUUUCCAGGGAAGGAUUCUGGGAGAGGAGGAGGAGACGCCAGCUUUUCGCCCGAGCACCUCCAGUGGGCUGCGGUCCGCUCUCAACCUCACUGGAACAGCCCCCGCCCUCCCAGAGUCCGUUAGUCCAAGUCACGUGAUCGUGGAAUCAGCUGACCCCACGCGACUGGGAAAAGAAAUUCCCGGGCCCUUCCUGGCGCGAUGAUGAGGCGCCAGGGGUGAAGCAAGGCAUGGGCUGCUGGAGCGGGAAUUCGGGGGCGCCAGUGGCUCCGGAAACGGGGGAGGUUGUCUGCCCUGGCCUCUCCGGAAAUACAGUGUGUGCGAGCGUGAGGGCUGCCGGUCUGGUAGAGAAAAGUCCACCGCCAUCCCGCUCCCGAGACGGGGGCGGGGGUGAGGGGCGGGUAAGACGGAGCAGGCCGGCCAGCUCAGAGUCCCCGCGCUUCCCUGGCGGGAGGAAGGGCCCCUGUCUCCGGGGGCAGGAAGUGGGGCUUGUCUGGAGCUGGGAGUCCUUUCAGGUCUUCCCCAGCCCCAAGAGGACCUCCCAAGGACACCGUCUUCCCCAGCCCUCCUGUGGGACUUGGACACUUGCUUAGAAUCAGUCUCACCCUUCCACAGUGUUAGGAAGCCCCUCCACUCUCUCCCGAAAGUAGUAGUUUUGGGGUUGAGACUUAUCUGUCCAUCCAUCUAAUCCACCCAUCCAUCCAUCCAAUCCAUCCAUCCGUGCGUUCUAAGCGUCUAGUCCAUACCAUGAAGUGUGCUAGGCACUGGGACGACUUGAGCUGCGAGGGAAGGGGAAAUCGGAGGCUUGAAUUGGCAGUCAUAGUUAAGGCUCCAGGGGCAGAGACCUAACCACGCCUUGUGUGUAGUGCUAAGGGGCCUCCCUGAGGAUGCCAUCAACCUUAAAGGCCGAUGGCAGGAACUGGCUGGCUGAAGUAGUUUGUGUACCAGGGGUUGGGAGGCAAGGGUGGGAGGUGUAUGUCUUCAGACAGGGAACAGCAUGUGCAGAGACCAGGUUAGAGAGAGCAUGGCUCCCCAGGAAUGAAUACAUUUCCCAUAGCUGGGAGAGUAUCAUCUGGAGGUUAGGGAAAGAUGAGGUUGCACAAGUAAAGAUCAAAUCUUCCUGGCUCUUGGAUCACCACAAUCAAGAUAAUGAACAUAUCCACCCACCCCCAAAAUUUCCUUGUGUGAGGGGCUAUUUUAGGAAGUAUGAUCAAGAAGGGCCGGCCUGACCGGGUGCAGUGGCUCAAGCCUGUAAUCCCAGCACUUUGGGAGGCUGAGGUGUGUGGAUGACCUGAGGUCAGGAGUUCGAGAUCAGCAUGGCCAACAUGGUGAAACCCUGUCUCUACUAAAAAUACAAAAAAGCCGGGUGAGAUGGUGCAUGCCUGCAGUCCCAGCUACUUGGGAGGCUGAGGCAGAAUUGCUUGAACCCGGGAGACGGAUGUUACAGUGAGUCAAGAUUGUGCCAUUGCACUCCAGCCUGGGCAACAGAGCGAGACUCCGUCUUUAAAAAAAAAAAAAAGAGGGGGCCGGUCUGAUGAGGGGUCACUUGAGCCGAGAGUGGAAUGAAAUAAAGGAUAGCAAGCCACACAGAGAAUGCAGCAGGCAUGGCGGCGGGAGCAAGGCUGGUGUCCCCGAGCAGCAGCAGGGAAGCCGGAGUGGCUGGACUUGUGUGGGUAUGGGGAAGAGGGGAGAGAGAUCACCCAUCUGUGUGAGGCCCAGGACUUUGUUUUAUCCCCUGCUGUACCCCCAGCGCUUAGAGUGGGAGCUAGCACAGAGAAGGCGCUUGAUUGAUGUUUGCUGAGCAGACGAAUGCCUGGAGUAGACCUCAGAGCAGGGUUUGGUGGCAGGGUGGGUCAGGGAGAGAGUUCACUCAACACCCUGGUGAUAGGGGAGAACAAGUGGCCAGAGGGUGUCCAUCUGUGAUGGGGACCAGGGUUCCCUGCUGGACAGAAGUGUGGGAGACACGGACCCUGGCCACACCUCAGCCUUCCCUCAGGCCUGAUUACCUGCCUCCCUCCCUUGCAGAAGUUUCAGUUCUCUGGUGAUCUGGACUGUCCCAAGUGGGUCCUGGCAGAGAUUGGCACGCUGGCCAAGAUGGUUGAGUGCACAGGGUCUAGUCUGGGUGGAGGAGGGGUGCUGGGGCUGGGGAUUGUGGGUGUAGAUGAUGGUGAGGUUUUUCUGGGGUUGGGACCUCAGUGGUCUCAGCCUGUGCUACCAUGCUUUGUGACCUUGAUCAGCGGCUGGCCUGCUCUGAGCCAGUCCCCAGGAAGGAGGGGUGAGGUUUGCCAGCCUGGCUGAUGUAAGGACUUCCCUUCCAGUCCUCUGUGAAGUUGCAGCUGCUCUGCAGCCAGGUACUAAAGAGCUGCUGGGACAGGGGAAUGAUGAUCCAGGCUAGGGGUGAGGGGCUGGUGAAUAGGGUACUGGCACCCCCCGAAGGUCUCCUUUCCCCAUAGUAUGAGAAGAUCCUGAAGCUCAUGGCUGAUGCCAAGUUUGGUGAGUACCCCGCUGAGUCCACAGGCCCCAGGCAACCCUGGGACUUCGACAUGGUGCCUGGUACAGAGGGGCCCCCCACCCCUCCCUGCAGCAUCCUUAACUUACCUUCCCUAGUGGAGGAGCAUGAGGGAAAGAAAGACAUGGACAGUCCCACCUUCCUGUCCUCUGCCAGUUCCUGGUGGAGCAGGAGCAGUGCCUGUGGCUUCAGGAGGCCUGGGAGCUUUGUGCUGAAGUUAAUAGGGCAACUGGGAGGUGGCUGGGGCCACAGUGACACCCCCUGUCCCACUCACGGGUCCAUCAGAGUCAGGCGAUGUGAAGGCCACAGUAGCAGUGCUGAGUUUCAUCCUCUCCAGUGCGGCCAAGCACAGUGUCGAGGGCGAAUCCUUGGCCAGUGAACUGCAGCAGCUGGGGCUGCCCAAAGGUAUGGGUUGUGGGUGGGCUGCUGGGCAGCCUGUGUGGGCCAAGGGCUGCUACCAAAGCCGUGUGACCCUGAGGUGUACUCUGCCUCGUCUGGGCCAGGAACCUAAGCCAAGCCCCCACCUGCUACCCACAGAGCUACUCCAUUCUAUCCCCAGAGCAAGCGGCCGGCCUGUGCCGCUGUUAUGAGGAGAAGCAAAGCCCCUUGCAGAAGCACUUGCGGAUCUGCAGCCUACGCAGCAAGUAUGAGGCCAGCCAGGGUCCAGGCUCCUUCUAGAAGGUGCAUGCAGCACAAAGUGCAUGGAGAGUCCAGGGAGACAACUUAACCAUGGUCACAUACCAAGCAGCUGCAGAGCUGGGACCUGACCCUGGCUCUCCUGACUCCGCGGGCUGUGGAUUUGUACCUACAGGAUCAGACCUUGCCCUUUCCUCCUGGCUGACCCUUCCCUAGUCCCCUGUGCCCCAUGUGUGAGCACCCAGCUCACUCUUAUUCCUCCCUCUCCAAAGCAUGGUCCCUGGGAGCACCAGGGGCAAAAGGGGCAGCAGAGACUGUGGACCCCUCAGCUGCACCUAAGACCUCUGUGUGGUCUAGCUAUGUGUGCUGGGGGAGGCUUUUGGCCACCAUUUCCCCCUCUGUAAAUGAGACCGAUACCUGUGGCAUGGAGGGCGGGAGGCCGGUGUGAGUGACAAGCACUUGGAGCAGGGCCCUGAGUGAGCAUGGACUUGGAAACGGGUGUUCCUUGACCUUAUGCACCUUGGGAAUGGGAGUGGGGCUCCCUGCGUGGGUUGAUAGUUCAUUGCUUUCCCCCACUCUGCCUCUUUCCCAGCCCUGCAAGUCCAGUCAUUGGGGGUCCAGAAGGGAAGAAGCCCCUGGCUGUGUUACUUUGGGCUGGUGCCUGGCCCUCUCUGGCUCUGAGUUCCUGGGAACGUCAGCACCCAAGCCAUGCCCUCAAGUUUAGCACCUUGACAAGAAAGGCGGGGACACUGGGAUCAGGCCCACCCCCCUGGCCUUAAACCCUAUGGCCCCAGCUGGAGGAUGAGGAGGUGCUGGGCUUGGAUGGGGGAAUCAGGGGUGUAAAGGGAUCUGCUCGCCCCUCAGCUUGGCUCAAAGGCUCGAGGCAUCAAUGGUUGAGCCUGCCCCUCAGGAAGCAGCCCGGGCCCAGCCAGACACUCACCAGGACGAGGGCAACUCUGACGAGCAGGAGGCCCAGGAUGAGGAGAGCCAUGGCAUAGCUGGAGAUGAAGACGCCCAGCGGGCUGGAGGCUUUGGGGCCAGGAGUGCCUAGAGCAGAGCUAGAAGACUAUGACCAG